CCUACGGGAGGCAGCAGUGAGGAAUAUUGGUCAAUGGGCGCGAGCCUGAACCAGCCAAGUCGCGUGAAGGAUGACGGCCCUACGGGUUGUAAACCUCUUUUAUAAAGGAAUAAAGUGCGGGACGUGUCCCGUUUUGCAUGUACCUUAUGAAUAAGGAUCGGCUAACUCCGUGCCAGCAGCCGCGGUAAUACGGAGGAUCCGAGCGUUAUCCGGAUUUAUUGGGUUUAAAGGGUGCGUAGGUGGGUUGUUAAGUCAGUGGUGAAAGUUUGCGGCUCAACCGUAAAAUUGCCGUUGAUACUGGCAGCCUUGAGUACGGUUGAGGUAGGCGGAAUGCGUGGUGUAGCGGUGAAAUGCUUAGAUAUCACGAAGAACUCCGAUUGCGAAGGCAGCCUACUA
This 396-nucleotide ribosomal RNA is filed under the name uncultured bacterium. Its description in RNAcentral is "partial 16S ribosomal RNA". It matches the Rfam family "Bacterial small subunit ribosomal RNA", at positions 338 to 731 of the family's 1533-position model. The record is from RNAcentral.